Long non-coding RNA from Apus apus (common swift), 3229 nucleotides. RefSeq lists it as uncharacterized. The transcript is spliced from 13 exons. NCBI's taxonomy places the organism in Eukaryota, Metazoa, Chordata, Aves, Apodiformes, Apodidae. The record is from RefSeq and is a predicted model, not a curated record.
GGUUUUUUUCCAUUACAGUGGCCGUUAUUUCCAACAACAGUAAAAGAAGACCAUAAAAGGCAUGGCUGCCAAACUGUGAGUGGAAUGUAUUGCCCCAAAAGUGGAGGAAAUGCCAGCUCAGCACCUGCCUCCCAGAGCCAAGUGCACACAGCCCAGGGGAAAGGGCAGAGCGAAGACCCACCGGCCAUGGAGAGGAAUUCGAGCUGCAGAACGUCUGGUCCCUGUUUGUACUCUUAUUCUACAAAAUUGCAGACUACUAUCAGAGGAUACAGCAUUCUCAAAGAUGCCUGGGUGUCAGAUUUUCCAAAGGGAACGUGAAAUGUCACCAAAGCGUUUCCAUUAAGGGGAAGAAAGGACCUCCGGGGUGUUAAUCCAGCUCUUUGAGAGGCCAAAAAUCUCAGGAGGCCUCACAACACCCCAACCUUUACAACAACUACCAAAGCUGUGUGCUUGCUUCAAACUGCUUGUAAGUGAAACAACUGGAUGAGACGUACAAUAAAAAGGUGCCUGAGGACAGAAGCUUAAUGACAGAUGAGCUAGGAGAUUUAUGGGCUCUUGAUUGGCAACAACUCAGCAGCAUGUGUGUUGUGGUUCAAGGUGACCACAGGUUUCUGUCACUGACUGCUCUUCCAACAAUUCUCAAAUAUCAGGUGCUGCAACAAAGCUUCUUUAUCCCACUGUCUUCAGUGUGGAGGCUGAAGUACGACAUGUCAGCCUGAGAUGCUGCAACCUGAGUUAAAAAAGCCUUUGCUUUCAGAAGCCUGAAUCCCCAGUGCCUCACUGCUGGUGCAGUCCCUGCUGGCUCUGCAGCACAGAGCUGAGGCACCCACGUUUGGCCAGUCUUGCAGAUCCUGCCAGUCACACAGCACCAAAGCAUGGAGGGACAUCAGCCAGUCUGGCAAGCAGGGAUGUAGGCCAAGAUGCUGCUGCAAAAGGAGCACAGUAUCAUCACACCUGAUUAAAUGAGGGAUGGAGACGUGCACCAAGGAUGCUGGCAGAGCAGCCCUUCCCUGGAGCCAAGAACAGCCCUGCUGGAAUUUGGGAGCCAGGCUGGAAAGUGUCCCUGCAGUUCAGCAUGUCCAAGAGUGGCACAUCAAGAGAACAGCAGGACAUGAAAAAGGUACACCCAGAAAGCUGCCUCAUGUUCUAACAAGCCAUUUGCUGUGAGUCAAGAGUUUUUAAUGCUGCGUUCUUUGUUAUUUUGAAUAAGGGCAGUGAUAGAAACAAGACCCUAGACAUUUCUGGCAGAUUCUAGGAUGAAGAAAGCUUCAAGAAAUUAUCAGAAUUUGUAUGUUAGUAGUCCUAGCAUCUCCCUUCUUUCUCCCUCUUGCAUUGUAUUCUACCCUGUUAAAUGUUCACAUGGUUUCAAUUUCCUAUUCUGACACUAGCAGUUGACAAGGAUCAACUCCACUCAUGUACAUCUUCAUGAUGAUGCUCUAGUCGCUGAAUUCUCAGAUGGAAGUGAUCUAAAUAGUUGGCCUCAUGUAGUCCUUUUGUGCCGUAUCUCCAUAAACUCCCAAAGAGCUGUGAAAACACUGAAGGUGAAUAGAUCUCUUCCUUUGGAGCAUCUUUCAAGACAAUGCUAUUCAUUGUGUGAGGAUGAGGGAAAAUGCAUAGUUGGUAGCAGUGAUUUACAGAUGAGACUCAGUAACUUCAUCUCAACUGUAUACAAGGUAAGAUGCGCGCGCGCACACAUAUUUUACAGAUUCCAGGAUUCUUGACAUAAUUAAUUACCUGCCAUGUUCUGAGUGAUUAUCACUUGAACAAGAAUAAUUUUCCUGUAGAAGUUCAAUGUGGGAGUAAUUAAUAUAUUUCCAGGGACAGUUAAAGAAAGAGGUUUGAUAUUUCACCUCACGGCUAGAUGGAAAUGACACUAGUGCCCACAUUCCAAAAUAUUUUAAAAUUUCUAAAGGGACAGAAAUGUAACAUCAGAUGUACAGCACCACAGUGCUCUCUUAUAUGCUAUAUAUUAUAUUAUUGCCAGUAAACUGUAAAUAAUGUAUUCUGGUUUCCUUUUUUUGUGAUGUUUUUGAUAUUUUUUCCCCCCAUUAUGAGUAUAUUCCAAAAACACAGAGGAAAGUUUUGAUUCUAGUAAAUAAAAAUAUAUACCUAAUUUUUUACUGAGGGAAACAUCAGAAACAGUCGUAGUUGGACUAGAUCAUUGUAGGUCCCUUCCAACUGAAAUAGUCUAUUUUAACAAAUUAUUUUGCUGCUGGUCAGUCACAGUUCAUAAGCAUUUGUGAUGACUUACAACAACCCUGAGAAAGGAGACUUCUUUGUGCCAGUAAUCAUCAGGGAGGCUGACGACAGAUUCAGCAGGUGGUUUUCUGCCCUGUCCGUGUGGAUACUGCCCUUGAGUCAAUUAAAAUUCAGUUGCUUUGGAGACAGACUGAAAUGCUGUUAUCCAAGCAGAGGGACAGAAAGGACCAAGGAGCUAUACUUCACAUGCCCUGCACAGUCAAGCCCACUUUCCAUCUGGCUAAUGGAAAUUCGACAGGAAAGGACAAGGGAAGGUGUUUCUUUCUUGAAAGAAAAGGUGAAUAAAGUGAGUAUCUUUAAGUGACUCCAUGAAGACUUGUGUCUGGCAGUGACAGAGGAUUAGUGCAGCCUGAAUGGAGCCCAUGAUGCUGGGAGGGGUAGGAACUGCAUCUGAGCAGUAAAGGAAGACCUGAGGGCACAAACACUUCCAAGUGCUUGUGUGGUGUGAGACACCAGUUAUAAAUAAAACAACUGUCUUGUCUAGAUAAUUGCUGGAGAUCAGUAAAACAUCUGUCAGAAUUAAUUGUUUCAGUCUAGAAUCUGGGAAAGUUGGUUGUUUGGGUUUUUUUAAGUACCUUUUUUUUCAACUGCAGUCUGAAGUUGCCAGUUAAAACUUCCCAACUAUGCUAUGAAUUAUAGUAUUUCAAAGCAGUAUUUCCACUGUGUUGCAUAUAUUUUUCAGAGGGGAAAAGAAGCCAGAUGAUCCAACAGAACAAGGCAAUCAUCUCCUUCAGCAAACAUCGCUGCCUCAAGAUUGACAGAAUAUUAGUGACCAGUAUUCAAGAGGCAGCAACAUCCUUCAUUCUUUGAGCAUGAAUUCAGCUUCCUGCACUAAAGCAGUACAAUUUGUCUUGCUCUGCAUCACAGAAGAGAUCCAUCUUUAUUCCAGUUCUUAUUUAUUUGUUUAUUUGGGCAAAUGACUGGUAGAAUUAAACUGAUACAGAUCUAGAGCCUGCAAAGCACCCCUUAA